RNAcentral lists this ribosomal RNA (301 nucleotides) under uncultured bacterium. RNAcentral describes it as "partial 16S ribosomal RNA". It matches the Rfam family "Bacterial small subunit ribosomal RNA", at positions 509 to 809 of the family's 1533-position model. The record is from RNAcentral.
CAGUAGCCGCGGGAAAACGUAGGUGGCAAGCGUUGUCCGGAAUUAUUGGGCGUAAAGGGCUCGCAGGCGGUUUCUUAAGUCUGAUGUGAAAGCCCCCGGCUCAACCGGGGAGGGUCAUUGGAAACUGGUUGACUUGAGUGCAGAAGAGGAGAGUGGAAUUCCAUGUGUAGCGGUGAAAUGCGUAGAUAUAUGGAGGAACACCAGUGGCGAAGGCGACUCUCUGGUCUGUAACUGACGCUGAGGCUCGAAAGCGUGGGUAGCAAACAGGAUUAGAUACCCCAGUAGUCCCUGUCUCUUAUAA